UUUCCCUACGGGGGGCAGCAGUGGGGAAUAUUGCACAAUGGAGGGAACUCUGAUGCAGCGACGCCGCGUGAGUGAAGAAGUAAUUCGUUAUGUAAAGCUCUAUCAGCAGGGAAGAAAGUGACGGUACCUGAAAAAGAAGCUCCGGCUAAAUACGUGCCAGCAGCCGCGGUAAUACGUAUGGAGCAAGCGUUAUCCGGAUUUACUGGGUGUAAAGGGAGCGCAGACGGCUGUGCAAGUCUGGAGUGAAAGGCGGGGGCCCAACCCCCGGACUGCUCUGGAAACUGUAAAGCGGGGGUGC
RNAcentral lists this ribosomal RNA (298 nucleotides) under uncultured bacterium. RNAcentral's name for it is "partial 16S ribosomal RNA". It matches the Rfam family "Bacterial small subunit ribosomal RNA", at positions 334 to 649 of the family's 1533-position model. The record is from RNAcentral.